UACGAAGGGGGCUAGCGUUGUUCGGAUUUACUGGGCGUAAAGCGCACGUAGGCGGAUCGUUAAGUCGGGGGUGAAAUCCUGGAGCUCAACUCCAGAACUGCCUUCGAUACUGGAAAGCUCGAGUCCGGGAGAGGUGAGUGGAACUGGCGAGUGUAGAGGUGAAAUUCGUAGAUAUUCGCAAGAACACCAGUGGCGAAGGCGGCUCACUGGCCCGGUACUGACGCUGAGGUGCGAAAGCGUGGGGAGCAAACAGG
RNAcentral lists this ribosomal RNA (254 nucleotides) under uncultured bacterium. Its description in RNAcentral is "partial 16S ribosomal RNA". It matches the Rfam family "Bacterial small subunit ribosomal RNA", at positions 524 to 776 of the family's 1533-position model. The record is from RNAcentral.